AGUCUGAGGCUGAAUGAAACCUACUUGUGUGCAAGAGGAAAUGUGCCACAUGCCGCUCUCCAGCCUGGCCUGGGUAUUCAUGCUUUUCCUCUGCUCUGGAUCCAGCGUGACCCAGACAGUGACUCAAACCCAGCCAGACAUAUUCAAGUCGGAGGGAUCAGAAGUCACCCUGUCCUGUCAGUAUGAUACAGGUCUGAACACAUACUACCUUUUAUGGUACAAGCAACUUUUCAGUGGAGAGAUGAUUUUUCUUAUUCGUCAGAGUUCCACGGGCCAGAAUGCAAAGAGCAGUCGUUAUUCUAUCAACUUCCAGAAAGGUGCUAAAUCCAUCACCCUCACCAUCUCAGCCCUACAGCUGGAUGAUUCAUCGAAGUAUUUCUGUGCUCUCUGGGAACACACAGUGUUUGAAGUGAUAGCAGAAGCUGAACAAAAACCCUAG
This is a non-coding RNA of Ochotona princeps (American pika), 439 nucleotides long. Lineage: Eukaryota; Metazoa; Chordata; Mammalia; Lagomorpha; Ochotonidae. The record is from the annotation of a RefSeq genome assembly.